Molecule: long non-coding RNA, 1359 nt
Organism: Acanthopagrus latus (yellowfin seabream)
Lineage: Eukaryota; Metazoa; Chordata; Actinopteri; Spariformes; Sparidae
Exons: 3
Source: RefSeq, a predicted model, not a curated record
UUUCCCGCGUGAAAUUAGUGGAUUUCCCUCCAAAACUGUAGAUGUGUAUUUAAAUAGCUGUUGGAUCGUCACUCUGGUUCCAGCAGCUCUACUCUGAGGACACGAAUACGGUGAACAGUGGGACUUGUCUUCAGCUUCAGGUGGAACAGCUCUGACCUGUACGGUGAUCAGACCCGGUGAAGAGAGACACCUGGUCCAACAAGGUGAUGGACGAUUGAAAGGACGAAUCACCAAGACGAGCCAAACAAUAAAGACGAGCCGCCACAGGAGCCUGAACCUGUACUUCACGAGGGGGAUCAAACAUGGCUGAUAUAUCUGCACUUCACUGCAGUUGGACGACGGUUUCCUGAAGUGAAUCCUGAUUUCCUAUUAAUCAAGUUUUUUGGACUGACAUGUUGUUCUCAGACUGUGAGACUCCCGAACAUCCUCAUCAAAAUAGACUCUUUGGUUUCUGUCUGUCUGUGAUGAAGCAUCAAAUGAGUCUCUUGUGAAACAGACCUGGUUCAGUUUGUUCACUUAAUUCACAUCAUCUUUCUACAAAGUCCCGUUUUUUAUCGGCAUUUUGCUUUUAUUAAGGCAGAGAAGAUGGAAACAACAGGCAGCUACUCAUCCUGUACAAGAAGCUUGGUUUUUUAAACUGAGUACUUACUAAUAAAAAAUAGAAGAUGGGACCUGGGGAGCAUAAAUGUACUAAUUUGAAAAAAUUCAAAUGAGUAAAUGUUUAAAACGAAUAUUUUAGAUAUUUUUUUUUCUUUGUAACCAAAUGGAAUCAAAAUAAAGACAUUUUCUUUGUAACUGAGUGACUCUUGAAAUGACUUAUGUGACUGGUUCUUCUUGUCAGCACCGUUUAGCUCCACUAGAAACAAAAGAAAAAACCUUCUGAGUCCAAAAGAAACGUGCAGAAAUGGAGCUGAAUGUGUUUGUCCUGCGCCUCCCUGUGAUCGAUUUACUUGUGUGGGCCACAUGUUCACACCUUCACAUCUAAACGUUGUUUAAAGUCUUAUUUCACCUCUAAACUUUGUUUUUAUUCCAACUGUGUUGUGUUAUUGAAUACAGAAUCUGAUCCUCGCCCGUGGAGAAAGUGUUGCAGAAUAACUGCAGACAAAGUGAACCAGAACAUACAGUUCACAUUUCCAUUCACUUUCAGAGAGCUGAAUGUGCAGAAAGGGAAACAGCACAUCACUUCUUUUAAUGAAACCAAAGAAGCAGGAAUGUGCAGGUUUGAAGAGUUCCAGGUUGUGUUCAUCUUUGACAGUCUGGACGAGUGUCGACUUCCUCUGGACUUCAGUCACCAUCAGAUCCUGACUGAUGUUACAGAGUCGAUGUGCUGCUGACAAACCUCGUCAGCGGGAAACUGCU